AAGAAUUUAAGUUAAAAAAACUCUCGGUCUUCAAAACCGUCAAUGGGGUUACCCAAUUCUUG
RNAcentral lists this transfer RNA (62 nucleotides) under Phascolosoma similis. RNAcentral's name for it is "tRNA-Trp". Lineage: Eukaryota; Metazoa; Annelida; Sipuncula; Phascolosomatiformes; Phascolosomatidae. The record is from RNAcentral.